Molecule: long non-coding RNA, 1638 nt
Filed under: Daphnia magna
Lineage: Eukaryota; Metazoa; Arthropoda; Branchiopoda; Diplostraca; Daphniidae
Description: uncharacterized LOC123474381, transcript variant X2
Source: RNAcentral
UCUCCGCUUGAGAGUCGGCUUCCGAAAUAAGAUAGAGGAGAACUAGUUUUAUUUAGUUUAACUUACAGAGUGCGAAUGUCGAGCGGCGACUAGCAAGUGAGAUACUGCAGGAUAAAGCACGAAAACAGUUCAUUGCGCGCACACACACACACUUACAAAUUUAAAGAUUACUUGUUCGGUUGAACACAAAAAAGAGGCUCAAUUCGGUGGGUUUUUUAAGUGAUAUUUUAUACGGAAAAGCAAGUUCAGGUUAAUUAAACACAUGGGGAAAGUGGAGAAUAUUAUAGUGUAAAUUUAACACUAAGGUAUGAAAGGGUACCGGGUGAGGGUUUUUCGCGUUAAGAUUCUCCGUAAGAACCAACGUUGCGCAUCGGAGAUGUGAAAUUGGUGAUGGAAAAGUUUGCGACUAGCCGUUCCUUACAAUACAAUGUUAAGUAACCUAGUAUAUAUAACCUAAGUGUAAUACCAUAUAAGGACGGCAACAUUGCUUUACAACUUUUGGCAAUAUUGCUGUUCUAAUUAAACUAGUAGUCUGUCAACCAGUAGGAAACACCGUGGUUCAGUAAUAUAGUGUCUCUUCAUUAAGUAAAAGUAAGGUAAAAGGAUAAGUGAAUUUGGUAGGCUAAAAUAGACUUCAACUUUUUUUUAAAGGUUGAUACCAUCACUUUUCUAUGGGUGAUGCUAGAGAUUUAUUCUCAACACUAUUAGUUCACUCGAAUUCUGUGAAGUAUCCAAGAAAACGUACCAAAUCCAACUAUUCUUUGCAAGAUUGUGCAAAUUUCAGUGCAGCUGACACCAGUACGGAUUCAUUAAUAAAUUAAGCAUCAUCAUAAGAAAGUAUUGACAUUGGAGGUAACGUGCCAGCUGUGGUAUCUCCUACUACAGUUGAAAGAAGAUCGCUAAGAAAAUCGCUGCACCGUGGUAAAUGCUUAAAUUCAGUGGAGGGACAGGAAAAGAAGGAAAAAAGGUGGCAGCAUGAAAUUUCGUAAAAGAAUUUUAGCUGAACAAAAAAGGAGACACCAAUGGGGAAAUAUGCGGGGGUUGGUCAGUCGUUCAAAUAUUUUUAGUACGUUGCAUCAACCAUUGAUUACUUGAGAAAUGACGUCGUUAAACUUACCGAAAAUCAACUUGAAGCUAAAAUAAAACACCUAAAUCAUAUGGAACAAAUUGUAAUAAAAACUUUCAUUCAAAAAGGAAAAGCAGAGUUGCAGGCAAAGUGUGGCAGAAGGCAAUCAAUGCGUUACAACGGUGGCUUCAUCAUGCAAUAUUUGCUGCUAAAAUUAAAGAGCAGUACUACUUAUACCCAUUUAAGGAAGAAUAAUUUCCUUUCUCUGCCUAGGUCUUUGACAAUCCGUCAAAGACUUUGUUCUUCUAAUUGUAAAUUAUGCUCCAACGAUCUUUCGUUGGAAAACAUCAUGAAAGCAAUGGUAAAUUUGAUUGCUGCCGAUCGCUGGAGCUCCCUGAUAUGGGAUGAAAUAUUUUCACACCCAGGGUUUUUACUUAAUUAAUUACGUUUGUUGUGAGGUCACAGUAAGAGAAAUCAAUUAUUCUGCUUACUACUUUGACACAAGAGUCAGCAAAAAGCAAUAAAUAUUCACUGUUGGUCACUAAUUACAUUAUAUUUUCACCCAAAGAGUG